UACGUAGGGUGCAAGCGUUGUCCGGAAUUAUUGGGCGUAAAGAGCUCGUAGGCGGUUUGUCGCGUCUGCUGUGAAAACUCGGGGCUUAACCCCGGGCCUGCAUCGGGUACGGGCAGACUAGAGUGCGGUAGGGGAGACUGGAAUUCCUGGUGUAGCGGUGAAAUGCGCAGAUAUCAGGAGGAACACCGGUGGCGAAGGCGGGUCUCUGGGCCGUAACUGACGCUGAGGAGCGAAAGCAUGGGGAGCGAACAGG
This 253-nucleotide ribosomal RNA is filed under the name uncultured bacterium. RNAcentral's name for it is "partial 16S ribosomal RNA". It matches the Rfam family "Bacterial small subunit ribosomal RNA", at positions 524 to 776 of the family's 1533-position model. The record is from RNAcentral.